Molecule: ribosomal RNA, 336 nt
Filed under: Asterotexiaceae sp. 1 LR-2019
Lineage: Eukaryota; Fungi; Ascomycota; Dothideomycetes; Asterinales; Asterotexaceae
Description: partial 28S ribosomal RNA
Rfam family: Eukaryotic large subunit ribosomal RNA
Source: RNAcentral
UCCGGAUGCAUAAUGAAAGUAAUAGGCUCUAGACCGACCGAUCUUUUGUAGAAAGGAUUUGAGUAGGAGCGUAUUUGUUGGGACCCGAAAGAUGAUGAACUAUGCCCGAAUAGGCCGAAGUCGCCCGAAAGGGCGAUGGAGGGUCGCAGCGGUUCUGACGUGCAAAUUUUAUUGUCAAAUUUGGGUAUAGGGGCGAAAGACUAAUCGAAUCAUCUAGUAGCUGGUUCCAGUCGAAGUUUCCCUCAGGAUAGCAGUGAUGGAUCAGUUUUAUGAGGUAAAGCGAAUGAUUAGUAGCAUUGGGGUUGAAAAAGCCUCGACUUAUUCUCNAACUGCGAA